AACGCGAAGAACCUUACCAAGGUUUGACAUGCAGGGAAAAGCCGUAGAGAUACGGUGUCCGUAAGGGCCCUGCACAGGUGGUGCAUGGCUGUCGUCAGCUCGUGUCGUGAGAUGUUGGGUUAAGUCCCGCAACGAGCGCAACCCUCGUCCUAUGUUGCCAGCGGGUAAUGCCGGGGACUCAUAGGAGACUGCCGGGGUCAACUCGGAGGAAGGUGGGGAUGACGUCAAGUCCUCAUGCCCCUUAUGUCUUGGGCUGCAAACAUGCUACAAUGGCCAGUACAAAGGGUUGCGAGACCGCAAGGUGGAGCGAAUCCCAAAAAGCUGGUCUCAGUUCGGAUUGGGGUCUGCAACUCGACCCCAUGAAGUCGGAGUCGCUAGUAAUCGCAGAUCAGCAACGCUGCGGUGAAUACGUUCCCGGGCCUUGUA
Molecule: ribosomal RNA, 426 nt
Filed under: uncultured Actinomycetes bacterium
Lineage: Bacteria; Bacillati; Actinomycetota; Actinomycetes
Description: bacterial SSU rRNA
Rfam family: Bacterial small subunit ribosomal RNA
Source: RNAcentral